RNAcentral lists this ribosomal RNA (1362 nucleotides) under uncultured bacterium. RNAcentral describes it as "16S ribosomal RNA". It matches the Rfam family "Bacterial small subunit ribosomal RNA", at positions 28 to 1381 of the family's 1533-position model. The record is from RNAcentral.
GAUGAACGCUAGCGACAGGCUUAACACAUGCAAGUCGAGGGGCGGCAGGGGAGUAGCAAUACUCCCGCUGGCGACCGGCGCACGGGUGAGUAACACGUAUGCAACCUGCCCUUGUCAGGGGGAUAAGCGGAAGAAAUUCCGUCUAAUACCGCAUAACGCUGCGGGGAGACAUCUCCCUGCAGCCAAAGAUUUAUCGGACAAGGAUGGGCAUGCGGCGCAUUAGCUUGUUGGCGGGGUAACGGCCCACCAAGGCGACGAUGCGUAGGGGUUCUGAGAGGAAGGUCCCCCACACUGGUACUGAGACACGGACCAGACUCCUACGGGAGGCAGCAGUGAGGAAUAUUGGUCAAUGGCCGGGAGGCUGAACCAGCCAAGUCGCGUGAGGGAAGACGGUCCUAUGGAUUGUAAACCUCUUUUGUCAGGGAGCAAAAACUGCCACGCGUGGCAGGAUGAGAGUACCUGAAGAAAAAGCAUCGGCUAACUCCGUGCCAGCAGCCGCGGUAAUACGGAGGAUGCGAGCGUUAUCCGGAUUUAUUGGGUUUAAAGGGUGCGUAGGCGGACAGUUAAGUCAGCGGUAAAAUUGAGAGGCUCAACCUCUUCCCGCCGUUGAAACUGAUUGUCUUGAGUGGGCGAGAAGUAUGCGGAAUGCGUGGUGUAGCGGUGAAAUGCAUAGAUAUCACGCAGAACUCCGAUUGCGAAGGCAGCAUACCGGCGCCCAACUGACGCUGAAGCACGAAAGCGUGGGUAUCGAACAGGAUUAGAUACCCUGGUAGUCCACGCAGUAAACGAUGAAUACUAAUUGUUCGGGUCGAGUGAGAUCUGAGUGAUACAGCGAAAGCGUUAAGUAUUCCACCUGGGGAGUACGCCGGCAACGGUGAAACUCAAAGGAAUUGACGGGGGCCCGCACAAGCGGAGGAACAUGUGGUUUAAUUCGAUGAUACGCGAGGAACCUUACCCGGGCUCAAACGACACAGGAAUGAUCUGAGAAAUCAGGCAGUCCUUCGGGACCUGUGUCGAGGUGCUGCAUGGUUGUCGUCAGCUCGUGCCGUGAGGUGUCGGCUUAAGUGCCAUAACGAGCGCAACCCCCAUCGACAGUUGCCAGCAGGUCAAGCUGGGCACUCUGUCGAGACUGCCGGCGCAAGCUGUGAGGAAGGCGGGGAUGACGUCAAAUCAGCACGGCCCUUACGUCCGGGGCGACACACGUGUUACAAUGGCAGGUACAGCGGGAAGCCACCUGGCGACAGGGAGCGGAACCCGAAAGCCUGUCUCAGUUCGGAUUGGAGUCUGCAACUCGACUCCAUGAAGCUGGAUUCGCUAGUAAUCGCGCAUCAGCCACGGCGCGGUGAAUACGUUCCCGGGCCU